This is a long non-coding RNA of Oncorhynchus tshawytscha (Chinook salmon), 266 nucleotides long. The record is from Ensembl. NCBI's taxonomy places the organism in Eukaryota, Metazoa, Chordata, Actinopteri, Salmoniformes, Salmonidae.
CAAGGGGUUGUUUUAACACAGUGUAGACAAGGGGUUGUUUUAACACAGUGUAGACAAGGGGUUGUUUUAACACAGUGUAGACAAGGGGUUGUUUUAACACAGUGUAGACAGGGGGUUGUUUUAACACAGUGUAGGCAGGGGGUUGUUUUAACACAGUGUAGACAGGGGGUUGUUUUAACACAGUGUAGACAGAGGGUUGUUUUAACACAGUCUAGACAGGGGGCUGUUUUAACACAGUUGUGUGAGUUGUGGCUUAUGAACUUCUA